Molecule: ribosomal RNA, 468 nt
Filed under: uncultured bacterium
Lineage: Bacteria
Description: partial 16S ribosomal RNA
Rfam family: Bacterial small subunit ribosomal RNA
Source: RNAcentral
GACGAACGCUGGCGGCGUGCUUAACACAUGCGAGUCGAACGGAAAGGCCCUGCUUUUGUGGGGUGCUCGAGUGGCGAACGGGUGAGUAACACGUGAGUAACCUGCCCUUGACUUUGGGAUAACUUCAGGAAACUGGGGCUAAUACCGGAUAGGAGCUCCUGCUGCAUGGUGGGGGUUGGAAAGUUUCGGCGGUUGGGGAUGGACUCGCGGCUUAUCAGCUUGUUGGUGGGGUAGUGGCUUACCAAGGCUUUGACGGGUAGCCGGCCUGAGAGGGUGACCGGCCACAUUGGGACUGAGAUACGGCCCAGACUCCUACGGGAGGCAGCAGUGGGGAAUAUUGCACAAUGGGCGGAAGCCUGAUGCAGCAACGCCGCGUGCGGGAUGACGGCCUUCGGGGUGUAAACCGCUUUCGCCUGUGACGAAGCGUGAGUGACGGUAAUGGGUAAAGAAGCACCGGCUAACUACGUG